UGGGGAAUCUUGGACAAUGGGCGCAAGCCUGAUCCAGCCAUGCCGCGUGGAUGAUGAAGGCCUUAGGGUUGUAAAAUCCUUUCGUGGGGACGAUAAUGACGGUACCCCAAGAAGAAGCUCCGGCUAACUUCGUGCCAGCAGCCGCGGUAAUACGGAGGAUCCAAGCGUUAUCCGGAAUCAUUGGGUUUAAAGGGUCCGUAGGCGGUUAGAUAAGUCAGUGGUGAAAGCCCAUCGCUCAACGGUGGAACGGCCAUUGAUACUGUCUGACUUGAAUUAUUAGGAAGUAACUAGAAUAUGUAGUGUAGCGGUGAAAUGCUUAGAGAUUACAUGGAAUACCAAUUGCGAAGGCAGGUUACUACUAAUGGAUUGACGCUGAGGUGCGAAAGCGUGGGGAGCAAACAGGAUUAGAUACCCACGUAGUCCCUGAGCGGGCUGGCAAGGCGCAU
Molecule: ribosomal RNA, 446 nt
Filed under: uncultured bacterium
Lineage: Bacteria
Description: bacterial SSU rRNA
Rfam family: Bacterial small subunit ribosomal RNA
Source: RNAcentral